CGCAUCUGUGCAUGCAGCAUAUCAAUAAGCGGAGGAAAAGAAACUAACAAGGAUUCCCUUAGUAACGGCGAGUGAAGCGGGAAGAGCUCAAAUUUGAAAUCUUCAAGGUUUUACCUUGACGAAUUGUAGUUUAAAGAAGUGUUUUCUGUUGAAGUUUUGGUAAAAGUUCUUUGGAAUAGGACAUCAUAGAGGGUGAGAAUCCCGUAUUUGACCAUUAUUUUCAGCUGUGUGAUACACUUUCAAAGAGUCGGGUUGUUUGGGAAUGCAGUCCAAGAUGGGUGGUAAAUUUCAUCUAAAGCUAAAUAUUGGCGAGAGACCGAUAGCGAACAAGUACCGUGAGGGAAAGAUGAAAAGAACUUUGAAAAGAGAGUUAAACAGUACGUGAAAUUGUCAAAAGGGAAGCGUUUGACACCAGUGUUGUUUUCUCGAAAAUCAAUUAAAAAGAGUUAGAUUUUGUUGUGUAUUGACCUUAACAGCUUGCAUUUCAAUUUUCUUGCUUCUUUUUAAUGCACUUUUCGUUUAACAAGUCAACAUCAGUUUCUUUUGUUGUAAAAAGGUCAUUGGAAGGUGGCUUUCUUUUCGGAGAAAGUGUUUAUAGCCUUUGACUCCUGCAAUCGGAGAGACUGAGGUCUGCAGCGUAGAUCCUUCGGGGUUAGAUACAUUUGUGCUAAGUUAUAGCUUUUUAUAGACAACUUGUUGACUAUGAUUAGUCUUGUAGCUUACUCGCUUAUGCUAUUUUACCUACGCUUAGGAUGUUGAUGUGAUACUGCGAGCAUCGCAUCUGUGCAUGCAGCAUAUCAAUAAGCGGAGGAAAAGUCAAUACCUACGCUUAGGAUGUUGAUGUGAUACUGCGAGCA
This 857-nucleotide ribosomal RNA is filed under the name uncultured Neocallimastigales. RNAcentral describes it as "partial large subunit ribosomal RNA". It matches the Rfam family "Eukaryotic large subunit ribosomal RNA", at positions 26 to 629 of the family's 3401-position model. The record is from RNAcentral. Lineage: Eukaryota; Fungi; Neocallimastigomycota; Neocallimastigomycetes; Neocallimastigales.